RNAcentral lists this unclassified non-coding RNA (25 nucleotides) under Mus musculus (house mouse). Its description in RNAcentral is "oocyte_clustered_small_RNA13962". The record is from RNAcentral. Lineage: Eukaryota; Metazoa; Chordata; Mammalia; Rodentia; Muridae.
UAGCCACGUCGUCUCAGCACUAAUG